AUAAUGGUUUCUUUAGAAACUACACAUUUCUUAUGUAAAUGUUGU
This is a non-coding RNA of Tyto alba (common barn owl), 45 nucleotides long. Lineage: Eukaryota; Metazoa; Chordata; Aves; Strigiformes; Tytonidae. The record is from Rfam.